GUUUCCGUGGUGUAGCGGUUAUUACGUGCGCCUCACACGCGCAAGGUCCCCGGUUCGAUACCAGGCGGAAACA
RNAcentral lists this transfer RNA (73 nucleotides) under Ixodes scapularis (black-legged tick). Its description in RNAcentral is "tRNA-Val for anticodon CAC". Lineage: Eukaryota; Metazoa; Arthropoda; Arachnida; Ixodida; Ixodidae. The record is from RNAcentral.